GAUGAAGAACGGAGCGAAAUGCGAUAAGUAAUGUGAAUUGCAGAAUUCAGUGAAUCAUCGAAUCUUUGAACGCACAUUGCGCCCGCCAGUAUUCUGGCGGGCAUGCCUGUUCGAGCGUCAUUUCAACCAUCAAGCCCCCGGCUUGUGUUGGGGACCUGCGGCUGCCGCAGGCCCUGAAAACCAGUGGCGGGCUCGCUGUCACACCGAGCGUAGUAGAUUUUCAUCUCGCUCAGGGCGUGCUGCGGGUUCCGGCCGUAAAAAGCCUUAUUUACCCAAGGUUGACCUCGGAUCAGGCAGGAAGACCCGCUGAACUUAAGCAUAUCAAUAAGCGGAGGA
This 336-nucleotide unclassified non-coding RNA is filed under the name soil metagenome. Its description in RNAcentral is "partial contains 5.8S ribosomal RNA, internal transcribed spacer 2, and large subunit ribosomal RNA". The stretch from base 1 to 120 matches the Rfam family "5.8S ribosomal RNA", at positions 35 to 154 of the family's 154-position model. The record is from RNAcentral.